Non-coding RNA from Pelobates cultripes (western spadefoot toad), 230 nucleotides. NCBI's taxonomy places the organism in Eukaryota, Metazoa, Chordata, Amphibia, Anura, Pelobatidae. The record is from the annotation of a GenBank genome assembly.
CUCUUGUGCAUGUUCAAGAAUAUAGUAGUGACCUUGGCUCUUAGCAGAUGAAGAGUCAGGAGCAGAAGACUGGUCGGAAAACGAUUGCAGCAGAUAUUAGGGACAGGUUCUGGUAAGUAGAACUCAUUGUCUGCCCUGGACUCCGGACGCUUUGCAGCAAUAUCCAUGUUGGGUUUUUGUAAAUUAUCCAAAGUUCCUAGAUGGUGACAGUGCUGUUUUAACAGUCAGCC